Molecule: ribosomal RNA, 900 nt
Filed under: uncultured archaeon
Lineage: Archaea
Description: bacterial SSU rRNA
Rfam family: Archaeal small subunit ribosomal RNA
Source: RNAcentral
UUCCGGUUGAUCCUGCCGGAGGCGACCGCUUUGGGAGUUCGAUUAAGCCAUGCGAGUCGUGAGUCUUAGGGACUCGGCAUACUGCUCAGUAACACGUGGAUAACCUGCCCUAUCGUCUGGAAUAACCUCGGGAAACUGAGAACAAGGCCGGAUAGUUCACAAUGCCUGGAACGGUUUGUGAAUCAAGGUAGGAUGGGUCUGCGGCGUAUCAGGUUGUAGGGGGUGUAAAGGACCCCCUAGCCUUCGACGCGUACGGGUGUUGGGAGACAUAGCCCGGAGAUGGAUUCUGAGACACGAAUCCAGACCCUACGGGGUGCAGCAGGCGCGAAAACUUCACACUGCAGGAAACUGUGAUGAGGGAACUCCUAGUGCAUGCACUAUGUGUAUGUAGAUCCUACUCUUAACAAGUAGAGGGAGAGGGCUGGGAAAGACCGGUGCCAGCCGCCGCGGUAAUACCGGCAGCUCAAGUGGUCGUCGCUUUUAUUGGGCCUAAAACGUCCGUAGCCUGUUUGGUAAAUCUGUGGGUAAAUCAAUCCGCUCAACGGAUUGAAUUCUGCAGAGACUGCCAGACUAGGGACCGGGAGAGGUGUGGGGUACUCGAGGGGUAGGGGUAAAAUCCUGUCAUCCUUCGAGGACCACCAGUUGCGAAGGCGCCACACUGGAACGGAUCCGACGGUCAGGGACGAAGCCUAGGGGCACGAACCGGAUUAGAUACCCGGGUAGUCCUAGGUGUAAACGCUGUGAACUUGGUGUCGGGGGUCCGCAAGGGGUCCCCGGUGCCGGAGUGAAGAUGUUAAGUUCACUGCCUGGGGAGUACGGUCGCAAGGCUGAAACUUAAAGGAAUUGGCGGGGGAGCACUGCAACGGGAGGAGCGUGCGGUUUAAUUGGAUCAACGCCGGA